GCCCAGCACCGCCUCCCGCGAGGGGCGGAAGUGACGUAAUCGCCGCGUCAGACUGCGCGACGCAGUCGCCGGGCAAAACACGCAACGCGCGGGGCGGCCUCACUCUGCUCUCUGGAGAAGUUCAGCGCGGCUUGGAGGCGGGCCCGAGAAGCUGCGCCUGCGCAGGACGUACUGCUUUGAAGGAAGGCGGGGGAGCGUUAGCCUCCGCGCCUGCGCGCUGGGAGUUGUUCCCAAAGGUAGGAGCAACGCAGCUUCCUGGCAUCCGGAAAAGAUGAGAAAACAGAGGGCCGGAGAAGUCACAGGCCCAAGGGUACAACGUCAGCAAGUGCUAGAGCUUGUCUUCACACUCAGACAGCCGACCCAAGCGCCUCAGCUCGAUGCUGUGCUGCCUCUCAAAAGGCCCCGAGGGACAGGAUGGAGGGCCUCUGGAAACUCGCAGGCGACAAGAAAACCUACGUAAUUUUCAGCCGCCCCGGGAGAGCACCGCGUGCAAGUGUGAGAGCUUUAAACAAACACUUGAUGAGAAGAAAAAAGCCCCCGAGUGACCAGAAUCGGGGACCACGAAUGGCUUCUUCCCAGCCAUGUUCCCCGGUCCCCGAUGCAAAGAAGGGCUCUAUCUAUUCCCCUCCACAAUCCACAAGGCUCCUCAAGCAGAGGCCUGGCCAUACCUGCUGAACAAUCUCUCCAUCUUCCACGUUAAACUUGACAAUGUUCACGUGGCUGAAGGGAACAACUCCGAGGGCCCACACCACCCCAGAACCAUAGGAAUACAUCAUCUGGUAAUGGAUGCUGUCACUAAGAGAGGGAAGAAACAAAGCAAGGGCCACAGCUUCAGCUGUGGGACAGGCCCCUUCUCGGGGGUCCUCUCAAAUCAGUCAGGUCCUUAGCCAGAGGUUACACACUAGCAGUCCCCAAGUAGGUUUUGUUUGGCUCACAGUUAUGUUUGGUUUGUUUCUAAAGAGUCAUCAAUGUUUAGGACUGAGACUUUACAGGGGCGCCUGGGUGGCUCGGUUGGUUAAGCAACCGACUUUGACUCAAGUCAUGAUCUCGCCAUUCCAAGU
This is a long non-coding RNA of Suricata suricatta (meerkat), 1061 nucleotides long. RefSeq lists it as uncharacterized. The transcript has 3 exons. The record is from RefSeq and is a predicted model, not a curated record. NCBI's taxonomy places the organism in Eukaryota, Metazoa, Chordata, Mammalia, Carnivora, Herpestidae.